GACGAACGCUGGCGGCGUGCCUAAUACAUGCAAGUCGAACGCUUUUUCUUUCACCGGAGCUUGCUCCACCGAAAGAAAAAGAGUGGCGAACGGGUGAGUAACACGUGGGUAACCUGCCCACCAGAAGGGGAGAACACUCGGAAACAGGUGCUAAUACCGUAUAACACUAUUUUCCGCAUGGAAGAAAGUUGAAAGGCGCUUUUGCGUCACUGAUGGAUGGACCCGCGGUGCAUUAGCUAGUUGGUGAGGUAACGGCUCACCAAGGCAACGAUGCAUGGCCGACCUGAGAGGGUGAUCGGCCACACUGGGACUGAGACACGGCCCAGACUCCUACGGGAGGUAGCAGUAGGGAAUCUUCGGCAAUGGACGAAAGUCUGACCGAGCAACGCCGCGUGAGUGAAGAAGGUUUUCGGAUCGUAAAACUCUGUUGUUAGAGAAGAACAAGGAUGAGAGUAAAACGUUCAUCCCUUGACGGUAUCUAACCAGAAAGCCACGGCUAACUACGUGCCAGCAGCCGCCGUAA
This 523-nucleotide ribosomal RNA is filed under the name uncultured bacterium. Its description in RNAcentral is "partial 16S ribosomal RNA". It matches the Rfam family "Bacterial small subunit ribosomal RNA", at positions 28 to 523 of the family's 1533-position model. The record is from RNAcentral.